RNAcentral lists this ribosomal RNA (160 nucleotides) under Nymphaea odorata. RNAcentral describes it as "5.8S ribosomal RNA". It matches the Rfam family "5.8S ribosomal RNA". From Rfam's summary of the family: 5.8S ribosomal RNA (5.8S rRNA) is a component of the large subunit of the eukaryotic ribosome. It is transcribed by RNA polymerase I as part of the 45S precursor that also contains 18S and 28S rRNA. The record is from RNAcentral. Lineage: Eukaryota; Viridiplantae; Streptophyta; Magnoliopsida; Nymphaeales; Nymphaeaceae.
GACUCUCGGCAACGGAUAUCUUGGCUCCUGUCACGAUGAAGAACGUGGCACAAUGCGAUAAUUGGAGUGAAUUGCCNAUUCCCGUGAAUCAUCAAGUUUUUGAACGCUUGUUGAACCCGAGGCCAUUCGGCCNAGGGCACGUCUGCCUGGGCGUCACGCU